Molecule: ribosomal RNA, 439 nt
Filed under: uncultured bacterium
Lineage: Bacteria
Description: partial 16S ribosomal RNA
Rfam family: Bacterial small subunit ribosomal RNA
Source: RNAcentral
CUACGGGUCGCUCCAGUGAGGAAUAUUGCACAAUGGGGGGAACCCUGAUGCAGCCACGCCGCGUGGAGGAUGACGCAUUUCGGUGUGUAAACUCCUUUUAUAUGUCAAGAAAAUGACGGUAGCAUAUGAAUAAGCACAGGCUAACUCCGUGCCAGCAGCCGCGGUAAUACGGAGGGUGCAAGCGUUACUCGGAAUCACUGGGCGUAAAGGACGCGUAGGCGGGUUGGAAAGUCAGGUGUGAAAUCCUACAGCUUAACUGUAGAACUGCACUUGAAACUUCUAAUCUAGAGUAUGGGAGGGGGAGAUGGAAUUAGUGGUGUAGGGGUAAAAUCCGUAGAUAUCACUAGGAAUACCUAAAGCGAAGGCGAUCUCCUGGAACAUUACUGACGCUAAGGCGUGAAAGCGUGGGGAGCAAACAGGAUUAGAUACCCCUGUAGUC